GAUGGACCUUGGUUAGUCUGAAACACUGACCCUGUGGAUGGACCUUGGUUUGUCUGUUACACUGGCCCUAUGGAUGGACCUUGGUUAGUCUGAAACACUGACCCUGUGGAUGGACCUUGGUUAGUCUGUUACACUGGCCCUGUGGAUGGACCUUGGUUAGUCUGAAACACUGACCCUGUGGAUGGACCUUGGUUUGUCUGUUACACUGGCCCUAUGGAUGGACCUUGGUUAGUCUGAAACACUGGCCCUGUGGAUGGACCUUGGUCAGUCUGUUUUACAUGUUGGUACAUUUUUAAGGUUUAAAUUAUGUUUUUAAUGUCUCUCUCUUGGUUUUUCUCGCUCCCCCCCUCUCUAUGAAGUCAGGUGGUUUCUCUACCAUCAGUAGUCCUGUACAGUGCUUUUCUCUGUGUUGUCAUACUGUUCUGUUCACUGUUGUACUCUGCUGUGCCGCUUCAAGUUUGUGCCUUGACUUGACUGUGUGGAACUCUCCUGUCCUUAUAAGUGCUCACACUGGUAGACUGAAAUUAUAUAUUUUUCUAACGAGAUAGACACACACACACACACACACACACACACAGACAAACACACAGACACACACACACACACACACACACACACACACACACACACACACACACACACACACACACACACACACACACACACGAUAACACAGACAACAGCGGUAUUUGUGAAGGCCAUAUAGGACAUGUAGAAGCAGUCAGGUCAAAUUGUUUCUGUUCUGUACAUUGGAUACGGUGGUGUGGGUGAGUUAUGUUGUUUGUUUUGGAAGCUAUGUCCCCUGCUGCAAGAUCUUUCCCAUGCAGUGAAUAAAGCCUACUGCUGACCUGUCUCCACUUCAGCCUCGUCCAUUCUCCUGAACACUCUCACACACGGACACACCACUACCUCUGAUCGACUCUGGCAGGAAUUCCCUAGUAGCGAGUGUUGCACUUCACUGAAAGCUAAAAUAACCAUAAUCUAUCGCAGCUGGGAUUCAAAUAUUUAAAGGGCAGAUGCGAUUCCACGUCAUUAUCCAAUGAAAAUGUCAGUGAAAUGCCAACCUGUCGACAGAAAACUGUAUGUGUGUCUGUGUGUCUCUCUCUGUAUUUGUGUGUGUGUGCGUGUGUGUGUGUACUGUACCAGUCAAAAGUUUGGACACACCUACUCAUUCAAGG
Long non-coding RNA from Oncorhynchus tshawytscha (Chinook salmon), 1178 nucleotides. The record is from Ensembl. Lineage: Eukaryota; Metazoa; Chordata; Actinopteri; Salmoniformes; Salmonidae.